RNAcentral lists this long non-coding RNA (2574 nucleotides) under Nicotiana benthamiana. Its description in RNAcentral is "long non-coding RNA (NBEN_LNC008755)". The record is from RNAcentral. Lineage: Eukaryota; Viridiplantae; Streptophyta; Magnoliopsida; Solanales; Solanaceae.
UCGAAUCACACAUUAAACAUCAAGCCUAUUCAUUCUACGAAAUUACUGUCCUAUUAUAUUUGCCUAAUAUUUGCAGAUCUUUAUUACUAAUAAGAUUCAAAGAUUAACUAAUGCAUAGCGGGAAAAUAUAUAUAACUAAUGUUUAACUAAUACAAAUAUCUAUAACUAAGUACAUAAAUUUUUGUCAUGUCAUUUCAUCUUCAAGGCGUACAUCAAAGUGAUUCAAAGUGGUGUACCUGGUAUUGGAAUACAAAGAUGAUGAAGACCAGUAGGAAGCGAUAGCAGCACACACACAGCAACAACAAUUCAGCAACACAUGAGUAACCCAGUAACAGCGGGAAUAACAGAAAACCCAGGAGACAGACCAAUAAAGAAGUAUCCAGUUGCCAAAAUAACUUCUGAUUUUUUAUCACUCAAGAAAAAGAAGCUUGAACCUUUAAUGAACAAUAGCAGUUGAUGCUAAUUGUUAAUAGUGAAUAAGAACAGAUUUUUUCUUUAGUUUCUAACUUUCAAAACUCAAAAAUUCUUAAGAUUCAAAAGUUCUUUUUCUUUUUUCCCUCUAGUACUGAAAAUAUUUCUCUCUCUCAAUUCUAGUCCCCCCUUUAAGUGUCAAAUGACUCCUAUUUAUAUCCCAAGCAAGACUAAUUCCUUUUUUACCUUUUAACUAUUAACUUCUUACUUUUAAACUAUUAUUACUAAUCCUUUUACCCUUUUUUACUUUUCAGCCUAAUAUUCUUCUAUAUGUUUAUCUUUUACCCCUUUACUACCACUUGUACUAUUUCUGAUUUUCAAUUAAGUAAAAAGCAGUCAAACACGGACCUCACGGUCCACCAUCUUUUUACUUUACAUCAUUAUGCUCCCCACAAGUCUUGUCCCCUCUUAUUUUAAUUAAAAGUUCCACCCUCUUUUUACUUUACAUCAUUAUGCUCCCCAAAAGUCUUGUUCCCUCUUAUUUUAAUUAAAAUUUAUGGACCCACAUUUAAUCAAUUCCCAAAAUACCCCCAAAAUUAUUGAAAUUACCAUUCUACCCCCAUCCCUUCAAUCUGCACCAAAAUUAUAAAAAAACACCAACUUACUACAGCUAUAACCAAAUUUCUAAUCAAAUUCAACAACAAUUUCAAACUAAAUAAUGAAUAACAAAGAACUAACUGAAAAUUAUUUUGAACAGCAUUCUUAACAAGCAUACUUCAGAUUCAACAACAAUAACAAAAAUUGGACAUAGCAAACAAGUAGAUCCUAAUCACAAAACUCAAAUUCAAAUUAUACUUAACAAAUCAAACAAACAAAUUUAAAUCUCUAACUUAGAUCCAAAUUUAGAUUUAACACAACAAUAAAACAGAUUCAAAUCACUAAACUCUAUAAUCAAUUGAACUUCAAAUUAAAUCUUACAAUAUUGCAACCAAGAUGAAAGACUAACAUACUUCUACAUUAAAACUUAAUUCUUUUAAAUAAAAACAAACAACCAAGAUGAAAGAUUUAUUAAACUAACAUACUUCUAUAUUAAAACUAAAUUCUUUUAAAUGAAUAAAAACAAACGGAAGAAAUAAACAAGAAAAUGAUAACCAACGAAAAUAAUAUACUGAUUUUAGAUCUGAAAAUAUCAAACAAAAUACGGAUAGAAAUGAAACUUAGACCAACUAACCGGAUCGAAACAACGACGAACUCGACCGAAAACAGAUCUGCCCGGAAAUUUUGACACCCAAAAUAACUCGAAUCUGCCCGGAAUUUCAACAACGAUCUCGACGAAUCCACGACCAGCUUGGCAACGAUCAUACUAUGUAUGUAUAUAUAUAUAUAUAUGGACAGCUUAUAUUCAUAUACAUACAUACAUACAUACAUACAUACAUAUAUAUAUAUAUAUAUAUANNNNNNNNNNNNNNNNNNNNNNNNNNNNNNNNNNNNNNNNNAUACAUACAUAUAUAUAUAUAUAUAUAUAUAUAUAUAUAUAUAUAUACACACGCACACAUAUGUGUGGACGUGGGUGGGGGUUUGGUGUGGUGAGUUCGUGGUUAUUCAUGGCUAUGGAGAUGCUGGUUAUCGUUUAGACGUGACGACGAUGAACGAUGAUGGCUGUUUUGGUGAGCGAGAUGGUGGUUUUGAUUGAAGACGAUAAGGGGUCGUUAAUGGGGAAGAAACGAUGGGGCGGUACUUUGCUGGUUUAGCGAUGAUGGACGACGUGAAGGCUGAGAAGGCUGUCAUUCGUGGCUGGACGUAGCAGAAGCGAUGGGGCUUGCUGUUGGUCGUCCUUGGAGCUGCUAGUCGUGGGAUGCAAUGCUGUGGACGGGUGGACAUGGCUGGAGUUCGAGGUCCGACGUUAAUGGAGGUUAUGAAGGCAACCGUUGCAGUUGGAUCGCCGGAAAAGAAGCAGACGAAGCAGCAGCUGUGGGGGACGAGUGGUCGUUGGCAUUUGGUUGGGUGGUUUGAAGAAGAAGAGAAGAGGGGGGGUCCUUGAGUGUGGCGGCUGGGGUUUGAGAGGAUUAGGAUUUUUUUGUGUUAGGGUGUGUAAGGAAAAUGAAAAUGAAAAUGAAAAUGAGGAGGAGAGUGUCAUUUGGGUUAUGGGAUAGACUGGGUCGG